Small nucleolar RNA from Eutrema salsugineum, 107 nucleotides. It matches the Rfam family "Plant small nucleolar RNA R71". From Rfam's summary of the family: R71 is a member of the C/D box family of snoRNAs containing the C (UGAUGA) and D (CUGA) box motifs. NCBI's taxonomy places the organism in Eukaryota, Viridiplantae, Streptophyta, Magnoliopsida, Brassicales, Brassicaceae. The record is from Rfam.
AAGCCGUGGUGCAGGCAAUUGUUGGUAUAGCUCCUGAACCGUUCCCAAGCUUCACUAAAACUCUCGUUGGUGUGUUGUGUGAAGCUAGAUAUUUGGUUCCUCAGCUU